This 1244-nucleotide ribosomal RNA is filed under the name metagenome. Its description in RNAcentral is "bacterial LSU rRNA". It matches the Rfam family "Bacterial large subunit ribosomal RNA", at positions 1564 to 2818 of the family's 2925-position model. The record is from RNAcentral.
UGAAUACGAGACGCUAAGGCGUCGAAGUAGUGUAUGUCAUACUUCCAAGAAAAGCUUGCACUGUCAUAGAUAAAAAACGCCUGUACCAUAACCGACACAGGUGGGUAGGUAGAGUAUACUAAGGGGCGCGAGAUAACUCUCUCUAAGGAACUCGGCAAAAUAACUCCGUAACUUCGGGAGAAGGGGUGCCUUAUUCGUAAGGUUGCAAUAACAAGAUCCAAGCAACUGUUUAUCAAAAACACAGGUCUCCGCUAAGUCGUAAGACGAUGUAUGGGGGCUGACGCCUGCCCAGUGCCAGAAGGUUAAAGAAGUUGGUUAGCAAUUGCGAAGCUGAUAACUGAAGCCCUGGUGAACGGCGGCCGUAACUAUAACGGUCCUAAGGUAGCGAAAUUCCUUGUCGGGUAAGUUCCGACCCGCACGAAAGGCGUAAUGAUUUGGAUACUGUCUCGGAGAGGGGCUCGGUGAAAUAGACUUGUCUGUGAAGAUGCGGACUACCUGCACCAAGACAGAAAGACCCUAUGAAGCUUUACUGUAACUUGAAAUUGAAAUUGGACUUUAUUCGCGCAGUAUAGGUGGGAGGCGUUGAUUAUAAUCUUGUGGGAUUAUUGGAGCCAUCAGUGAGAUACCACUCUUGUAAUGUUAGAUUUCUAACUUUGAAUCAUUAUCUGGUCAAAGAACAGUUUCAGGCGGGCAGUUUGACUGGGGCGGUCGCCUCCUAAACGGUAACGGAGGCGUACAAAGGUUUCCUCUGAACGGUUAGAAAUCGUAUCUAGAGUGUAAAGGCAUAAGGAAGCUUGACUGUGAGACCUACAAGUCGAGCAGGGACGAAAGUCGGUCUUAGUGAUCUGACGGUACUGAGUGGAAAGGCCGUCACUCAACGGAUAAAAGUUACUCUAGGAUAACAGGCUGAUCUCCCCCAAGAGUUCACAUCGACGGGGAGGUUUGGCACCUCGAUGUCGGCUCAUCGCAUCCUGGGGCGGUAGUACGUCCCAAGGGUUGGGCUGUUCGCCCAUGAAAGCGGUACGCGAGCUGGGUUCAGAACGUCGUGAGACAGUUCGGUCCAUAUCCGGUGUAGGCGUUAGAAUAUUGAGAGGAGCCUUCUUUAGUACGAGAGGACCGAGAAGGACAUACCUCUGGUGUACCAGUUAUCGUGCCAACGGUAAACGCUGGGUAGCUAUGUAUGGAGUGGAUAACCGCUGAAAGCAUCUAAGUGGGAAGCCCACCUCAAGAUAAGUAUUCUCAUC